AGCUUUGCGCAGAGGAGGUGUCGUACCCGAUGAGGUGUAAACUGAGGGGCGUCUGUUGCUAGUUGAAAACUUUUCCCAGUACCCCGCCUGGACGACGUGAAAUACCGUCGGCCAUGACAAUUUUUGGCAGGUUUUACGGGGC
RNAcentral lists this small nuclear RNA (142 nucleotides) under Rhipicephalus microplus (southern cattle tick). Its description in RNAcentral is "U4 spliceosomal RNA". It matches the Rfam family "U4 spliceosomal RNA". Rfam says of the family: U4 small nuclear RNA (U4 snRNA) is a component of the major U2-dependent spliceosome. The structure of U4 snRNA from yeast and human has been reported. U4 snRNA presents a k-turn RNA motif in the 5p-SL related to recognition of Snu13 protein. The record is from Rfam by way of RNAcentral. Lineage: Eukaryota; Metazoa; Arthropoda; Arachnida; Ixodida; Ixodidae.